AAAGCAUAGGAAGCCAACGUUGGCUUCUUCCCCAUGAGAGACACUAGCCUGAGUGGUUUUGGAAAUAUACGCCUUGAUCAGAUUUGCACUAUGACUCCUGAAUACAUGAGCCAUCCAAGCAACACCUGCUCUCCUGACAGGUCAUCAGGGACUGACAGGAAAAGGAUCCAUCAAUUCCAUUCUCUCCAGAGAGAUCACCCAGACCUAGUGCUAAAUGUACAGUUCAAUGACAUGUUAAAAAGUAAAAUUCCACCCACCAAAACCUACCAGUUACCAGAGGUCAAUAUUUAAAAUGAAGACCCUAAUAAUGGAAAUUAGCAUAAAAUUAAUUUUUUUCCCCCAACUGGACUGUAAUCCAACUAAACACUCAAAAAAGUACCACUUAUAUCAAGGGGAGAAAGAUGGAAAGGAGUGAAACUCCUAAUUAAAUUGUGUCACCAAUUUAUUGCUAAGGGUGUGAGUUUUGGGCUCUAUUUCUUAUGAUGGGGUAGAAAUACAAUUGCUUCCUACCCUAAAACUGUGAAUUACUUAUUUUGGAUUAUAGUCAGUUUGGGCAUGCGAUUUUAUAACACAAAAACUGUAAAUAUGUAAGCGAUCAUAUUUUCAUUCAAAGUAAUUAGCUUCCUUUUCAUCAGCAAACGGAAGUAUAGAUCCUUUAUAUUUGGCCUAUUUAUAUACAUUUCCUGUUUUGGUUUCCACUUAUUUUCCUAUUAAACAUUACUUAGCUUUCUCUCUCUAAAUG
Molecule: long non-coding RNA, 742 nt
Filed under: Bos taurus (domestic cattle)
Lineage: Eukaryota; Metazoa; Chordata; Mammalia; Artiodactyla; Bovidae
Description: long non-coding RNA NONBTAT002794
Source: RNAcentral